CUCGCCUGCACGAAGUCGGAAUUGCUAGUAAUCGUAGGUCAGCAUACUACGGUGAAUACGUUCCCGGGCCUUGUACACACCGCCCGUCAAACCAUGAGAGUUGGCAACACCCGAAGUCGGUAGUCUAACCGCAAGGAGGACGCCGCCGAAGGUGGGUUGAUGAUUAGGGUUAAGUCGUAACAAGGUAUC
This 189-nucleotide ribosomal RNA is filed under the name uncultured bacterium. RNAcentral describes it as "partial 16S ribosomal RNA". It matches the Rfam family "Bacterial small subunit ribosomal RNA", at positions 1311 to 1500 of the family's 1533-position model. The record is from RNAcentral.